This is a long non-coding RNA of Salvia splendens (bonfire salvia), 1384 nucleotides long. RefSeq lists it as uncharacterized. NCBI's taxonomy places the organism in Eukaryota, Viridiplantae, Streptophyta, Magnoliopsida, Lamiales, Lamiaceae. The record is from RefSeq and is a predicted model, not a curated record. The transcript has 3 exons.
UUCUAUUCUAGUGUUGGAUACAUUGAUUUCUCGGAAUCUUACUUCAUGCCUAUGGAUGUGGAUGCAUGUUUCUUUUAAGACAUGCUAAUAAAUGUAGUUUAAAUAUUGAGAGGGUCUGAAAGAGAGAUGAGAACUAAUGAAUAAACAUUAUGGAGCCAGUGCAGUCCCCAAGUCCAUUCACACAGAUGAUUCACCGUCUCGAGGCUGACUGAUGAGUAUUCUUCACUACUUAAGAGUUAUUUCCUUUUUAAUUUUGAUCAUUCUUACCAUCAUUUUGUGUUCUUGCUGCUUGUGACAUCUGCUGUCCAGUCAUCUCAGAACCCUCAAAAGAUUGUUUUCCAUGUCAUAAUGUUUAUGCAUCAAUUUGAUUGGUAAACAAGUUAGAGAGAAUAUACAUGUUCUUGAUGUGGUGGAGAAUCACAAUAGAAUGUGCACGCGGUUACUAGCAUGGAAAAUUAAUCACAUUGCUGGGGCUAAUCAUAGUGACACAACCCCCCUUCCAAGUAUAUAUCAUUGCUGAACCAGAGGUAAUUAAUUGUGGUGUCAAUAUCUGUAUUUAUUUGUGAAAAUACUUUAGAAUGGUCUACAUAAACAAAUUGCAAACUGUUUCUUUUCCAGCUAAUGAAAUUUUCCUGAGCUAAAUGUAGUACUAUGAAUUAUAUUAUCUGCCAAUAACCAGCCCCUUAAAUGGAACUUAAUUGGCUUCUUAUACUCGAACUAAUAAUUUAUAUUAUCUUGAACUUGCAUGUUCUUGAGUAAGAGCAUCUUCCUGCUACUUGGAAGUAUAUGGACAAGGCCUUGGCAGAUCAGGUGGAGUUUGAUUUUCCCCCCUCAUAUUAUAUGGAGUAAGUACAAUCAUAUUAAUCAAUAUCACAUUUAUUAAAUCAUUUCAUGCAAAUAUUUCUCACUCACUCAAACUCGAUUUUAUGUAAAUUAAUACUACCACCGAUCAUCACUCAAAUAACUGUUAGCUGUUUGGUGGUUAACUUUUGAAAAUUUAACCCUCGAAAUCAUAUUUCCAACAUCGAUAAGUGAAUGCAGUAAUUAUAUAGGUUAGCAAGAGUCAUGUGAAUAUAGUAAGCACAUGAUAUAUAGUACUUGUGUUUUUGGCCUGCACAGUCUAAUCAUAAUAAUAUGUGAUGCUUUAUUAUGAGAGAGAGAGAGAGAGGGCAAUGAAGUUUUGGAGAUAUACAUGCAUGAUGCUAUUAUAGUCCGUGAAUAAUGGAAACAUUAAUGUAGUCUUGGCAUUUCCAUUGUGUCAUAUAUGUACCUAAUAUGAGCUGGCUAGGGAUGUCAAUGUAACCCGAACCCGCGGGCCGGCCCGAAUAACCCGAUAAAAAUACAGGGUUAGGGUUGUAAUUUCACAGCCCGAAUUUAAAAUCGG